Zea mays is the source of this 6491-nucleotide long non-coding RNA. RefSeq lists it as uncharacterized. Lineage: Eukaryota; Viridiplantae; Streptophyta; Magnoliopsida; Poales; Poaceae. The record is from RefSeq and is a predicted model, not a curated record. The transcript is spliced from 3 exons.
GUGGCUACACUCCAGAUCAUGUCUAGUACAUUUCUUCUUCUUCGAUGAAGGCAAGUGAAUGUAGCGGUGGUUGCUUCCGUUCUGACCUGUUAUUUCUAUUGCCUACACUCUAAUAUUCAGAAGUAUCAGAUUCUUUCAUAAUUGGACUCUAUGGUGAUGCUUUACUUGCUUGCAUUAUACUGAUGCUCAAUCAUAUAUUGAUGAUGAUUAUGAUUUGAGUAUGACUCACGAGAUUAAUUCAUAUAUCUGAAGGUAAAUGAAGUAUUGUUUGAGGUUGGUAUUGUAUCUGAAGAUAAAUGAAGUAUUAUUUGAGGUUUGUGUUGUAUCUGAAGGAAGUGAAGUUUAUUGAUAAAUGUAGCAUGCCAUAUACAUUGCAUGACUCAUUUGCAUAUGAAGUUUUGUCGUGACCUAUGGUCCGACCGUACCGGUACAACUUAGCAUCGUAUGUUGCCCGAGAAGGGGUACGAUGUGGCUUCAUACCCUUAGAGGUAUGAAGGCAGAGGACAUAUGCAUUGCAUUCAUAUGCAUUCAUUGAAGUGAUAUUUGCAGAUGAUGUGGUUUUAUACCCCCAGAGGUAUGAAGAUAGAGUACCUACGCAUUGCAUUCAUAUGCAUUCAUUGAAGUGAUAUUUGCAGAUGAUGUGGUUUUAUACCCCCAGAGGUAUGAAGAUAGAGUACCUACACAUUGCAUUCCUAUGCAUACAUUGAAGUGAUAUUUGCAGGUAUUGUUGACGCAGGGAAGUGUUAUAGAACCUAUUGUGGUUGUUCGAGGAAAUGAGAUGGUAUUGGUUAUAGUGGGACUACUGUGUUCUAUAUCUACAAGUAUUUCUGAUUUUUUAUUGUGUCUCUUUUAAAAUGUUGAUGAAUUCAAUUUGUGGUUUAAAUAUCUCGUCAGAACAAUUAGCUUGCUGAGAUGUUUCAUCUCACUCUUGCAUUACUCAAUGCAGGUGCUUGUUGCUCAUCAAGGGGAGUGGGAAGUAGCAGCACAUCCACCUUCACUCUCAUAAUAAUGCUGCCCAGACACAGCCAUGAUUUAAUUAGAAACUUCUUGUCAAAGGAUGUUUGUUUUUAACUAGUCGUGCGCACUGAUUAAUUCAGUUCAUUGUUGUUAUGGUUGUCUUCCCAUUGCUAGCAGAUUAUUAAUGUCUUAUAUGUUUUCUUAUCAUGAUAUCUAUUUAUACUUUGUUGCUUCCCCCGUUUAUGCAAUUUUCAAAGGAGAUGCUGUCGAAAUUUUAUAUAUGAAUGUUAGAUGUGUAGUUUAGUAGCAUUCUGAGGUGUUUGUGGAUCCCGGGGUGUUACAGUUGGUAUCAGAGGAUAGGCUUUAGAUUCUUGGCAAUUUGAAGAUAAAUUUGACACACUUGCACAUAUAGGAAGGGUAUGGGUUCAAAUAUCUUUGAUAUAUAUUAAUGUCUUUGGAGUGCAGAUGACAAUAGUUUCACCCCUCCCUAUUCCUUUACGGUGAUGUGGUAAGUUAUGGCUUAAUGCUUGAUAUAAUUUAUUUCUGAAAUUUUGAUAUUGUUUUAUUAAUGCGGUAGAUAUCGCUGGUCAUUGGUGAGAAUGAAGUUGUUAUUAUGCUUGUGAUAUACAAGUAUGCCUAUGUCGUUUUCACCAUGUUUUUCAUGGUUGAGUUUUAUUACAAUAAUAUUGUUAUAUAUGCUUGAUUGUGGAUGUUUCUAAGAGGAGUGUGAAUUGCGUGUUUUGGGGUACAAGGUAAUCAUCAAUUUGAAUUUAAGUUGUUGAGCGGUUGGUGGAUAGCUCCAACUAUCAUUGCAAAGAAUGAUUGUUUAUGUUGAGAAACCAGUUUUGAAAGAAAUGAAUAUUGGUACUUUAUAUGGAUUUUUGGGGGAAGUCUUUUCAUAGCCAGAAUGGCUUACAUGUCUCUCUCAUAUUGUGUGUUCUAGUUGCCACAAAGCCUAGAUGUGGUUUAAAGUGGUUGCCUAUUAGUCAUACUAAUUGUAGAAUAAAUCUUUGAUUCUCUUGAUCCAUUGAUUAUGUAUUGAUACAUUGAGGAUCUGAUGGUUCCCUUUUCGAUGCAUGCUUGUGGAGCCAUUUUUUUAGACCACCUAUCUAUUGGUUUGAAGGAUGUCCUUGCCUAGCCUAGAGUUGGUUGGGUGUGGCUAGUCACCUACUCCUAGAUGAUGUGGUGUUUACAUCAGCUUAAUAUGUUUGUCAAAUGUGUGAAGGAUUAGGGGUUAUUAUUAUUGACUUUGUAUGUCUGGUACUUUGAGUGCAUCGUAUGAUAGAAUGAAAUGUAAGUUUCUGAACUACAGUAGAUGAAGACUUAUAUUAUGUGUAGGUUAUCCUUACUAGUUGGAUAUUUUUCUUAGUUGAGAUGUUGAAUGAAGUAUAGUGACAUGGGUUAAGCAAGUAUUGUGUUGUUGUUGGGCUAUCAGUGCUCUAUGUAGAGUUUUUGGCAUUUCUUCGAUGAACUAUGCCGCACAAGAUGUUAUUGGCUUCUUUUGGCUUUAUUGCUCCAUUAGUUCUAUAGAUUUUCUCCCUUUUGGUGGGGUGUAAGGAAUGUUAGAUUACAUGAUUAUCUUUUCAUGAUGGCAAGAAUAAGGUUUAGAAAGAUUAGGAGUUUUGUUCCAAUAGAACUACUUGUUUCAUGGUGCUUUAAGGUGAGGUGUUUGAUCUUCUUAUACAUUCGUCGGGUGUAGAUGUUUCACCAUUUAAUUAAAAUUGAUGGUUGAAGUUGGUAAGGGUUGUGCUUGGUCCAUAUUACCCCUUCAUAAAAGAGUGUUGUCUUAAGACAUUGAUGUUGAUGUAUAGCUGCAUCCAAAUUUGAUGGUGUGAAAUUGUAGUGUUUAUUGCAACUAUGACAUGCUUUGAGCUUCAUUACAUGUUGUUUCAUGCUUGAUGUCAGGUCGUGUAGUUUCCUUAGACAAUUAGUCCAAGGUAGAAGUUCUUGUGUUAAUUAAGACCAAUAAUGGAUCCAUGUUUUGAAUUGUGGUGCUAUAUGGGGUACCUUGGGUGUUUUGCUUGGAGUGGCCGAAUUCGAGGUCGAAUUCUUUUUAAGGGGGGUAGAGUGUAAUAUCCCAAAAAAAUGUUGACCAAAAGUUAAUCUCUGGUGCGUGGAUGAGGUAAAGGGUUGUGGGCCAUUGGAUGCAAAGAUAGAAGUCAUCUGAGGCGUCGUUUCUUUCUCCCACAAAAACCCUAGGUGGCCACCCCUUUUUUUUCCCUUCACCCCCCCCCCCCUCUUGGCCGCCACCCCCUUUUCUCCCCCUUGGCUGGACGCCCCCUCCCCCUAUGGCAGCCAUCAUCCAUUGCUUCCUCCCCCAAGAUCUCCCCCUACGCAGCAAGGAUCGAGAAAAGGAGGGGCACGUUGAAUUGAAGAGGAAGAGAGGAUCAAGGAGAUGUUCUUCCCCAUCUCUUCUUGAAGAUUUCUUGGGGAAACCCUAGGUAUGGAUGAGAUCCUUGUUCCUCCCUGUAAUUAUAGGCUUUUGGAGGUUGUGGAUCAUGGGAAUUAAAGGAUUAGAGGUUGGAUUUGAUGUGGGGUUAGGUUUUGAUCCCGAAUUUAGUUUUCUGCAGAAUGGCAGAUUCGACAGUUUCUGUUCAUGUCAGUUUUCCGUGGUCUUAGUGGCCUCAAAAAAAUGAAAAGUCUAUGUAUGAGUCGUAGAUGAUUUGUAGAUCUUUCCGUGGCCGCGAAGAACACCUCAAUCGGACAUCCGACCAGAAAGUUAUUGCAGUUUUACUAUAGCAGUUUUUCAGUCUCAUAAUUCUGUGCAGAAUCUGUUCUCUUAAGAUUUAGGAAAUUUUAUCAACAGAAUUAAACUGUGGGUUGGUAAAAGAAGUUGUAGAUAAUUUCAUAAGCUUUCCAGAUUGUUAAAGAGUGCAUUCAUAUGAUUUGUGAAACUCCAGUUAUGUUUGUUUUACUGUGGCUGUUUCUGUUUACCUGACAAAAAUGAGUGGGUCUGUUCACUGGUGGGUUUCAUCUAGUAAAUGGCCGAAUUGGCUCUUCCAACUAUAGAGACUUUUGUAGAGGGAUAAAAGUUCUUACUUCCAGCAGAAUUUCAUAAUUUUUGGUUCAGUAGUUUGGGAGAUAUCGAAUUUUAACGUUAACCAUACUGCUGUCUAAAACAGAUUCAGUCAGUUAUCUUGUCAGAUGUUUUAGAACUUGUAGAUGGCAGAAUUUAAUUAUCUAUUGAAUACUGAAGUUGUAGAGUAUUUUGUGUAGAUACUCCUAGAGUAUUUGUUUGAUAUCACCGCUGUUUUAAUUUUAAAGAUACAAAAUUAACAAACAGCGUUGCUGCUGUAUGGCAUGUGGUUCAGGGUGGGAGUCUUUCCACUGGGUCUUGGUUUCAAGUGUAGGAGUGUUUUGUUGAUUGAUGGCAAAUGUUUGUGAAAUAUUUGUACUAAGUUUUAUGCCCACUAGCAGGUGGCUACACUCCAGAUCAUGUCUAGUACAUUUCUUCUUCUUCGAUGAAGGCAAGUGAAUGUAGCGGUGGUUGCUUCCGUUCUGACCUGUUAUUUCUAUUGCCUACACUCUAAUAUUCAGAAGUAUCAGAUUCUUUCAUAAUUGGACUCUAUGGUGAUGCUUUACUUGCUUGCAUUAUACUGAUGCUCAAUCAUAUAUUGAUGAUGAUUAUGAUUUGAGUAUGACUCACGAGAUUAAUUCAUAUAUCUGAAGGUAAAUGAAGUAUUGUUUGAGGUUGGUAUUGUAUCUGAAGAUAAAUGAAGUAUUAUUUGAGGUUUGUGUUGUAUCUGAAGGAAGUGAAGUUUAUUGAUAAAUGUAGCAUGCCAUAUACAUUGCAUGACUCAUUUGCAUAUGAAGUUUUGUCGUGACCUAUGGUCCGACCGUACCGGUACAACUUAGCAUCGUAUGUUGCCCGAGAAGGGGUACGAUGUGGCUUCAUACCCUUAGAGGUAUGAAGGCAGAGGACAUAUGCAUUGCAUUCAUAUGCAUUCAUUGAAGUGAUAUUUGCAGAUGAUGUGGUUUUAUACCCCCAGAGGUAUGAAGAUAGAGUACCUACGCAUUGCAUUCAUAUGCAUUCAUUGAAGUGAUAUUUGCAGAUGAUGUGGUUUUAUACCCCCAGAGGUAUGAAGAUAGAGUACCUACACAUUGCAUUCCUAUGCAUACAUUGAAGUGAUAUUUGCAGGUAUUGUUGACGCAGGGAAGUGUUAUAGAACCUAUUGUGGUUGUUCGAGGAAAUGAGAUGGUAUUGGUUAUAGUGGGACUACUGUGUUCUAUAUCUACAAGUAUUUCUGAUUUUUUAUUGUGUCUCUUUUAAAAUGUUGAUGAAUUCAAUUUGUGGUUUAAAUAUCUCGUCAGAACAAUUAGCUUGCUGAGAUGUUUCAUCUCACUCUUGCAUUACUCAAUGCAGGUGCUUGUUGCUCAUCAAGGGGAGUGGGAAGUAGCAGCACAUCCACCUUCACUCUCAUAAUAAUGCUGCCCAGACACAGCCAUGAUUUAAUUAGAAACUUCUUGUCAAAGGAUGUUUGUUUUUAACUAGUCGUGCGCACUGAUUAAUUCAGUUCAUUGUUGUUAUGGUUGUCUUCCCAUUGCUAGCAGAUUAUUAAUGUCUUAUAUGUUUUCUUAUCAUGAUAUCUAUUUAUACUUUGUUGCUUCCCCCGUUUAUGCAAUUUUCAAAGGAGAUGCUGUCGAAAUUUUAUAUAUGAAUGUUAGAUGUGUAGUUUAGUAGCAUUCUGGGGUGUUUGUGGAUCCCGGGGUGUUACACCUUGGGUGCAGGCAUCCUUGUUAGCUGAAGUAUCAUGUUGUUUUGUUUAAAAGAUCAUCACAAAAACAUCUAUGUAGUACAUAUAAAGUGAAGUAUAGUUGCAAUAGGUCAGUUUGAAAUUCAUCCUAGAUGUCAAGGAAGCAAAAUAGACAAGCAAGCAAUCUGACACUAUUCAUCAUGUGACAGUGACACUUGUAUUUUUUUAUUUUAAUCUCAGCAUAAAAGAUGAAUUCUAAACUAAAUUGUUAUGGCUACACAUAACUUAUGUGAUGACUUUUUGAAAUAUUGUAACAUGCUAUUUUAGCUAAAGAGGACCAUCACACCCCUGGAUGCCAAAACAUUGGUUUAAUCAUAAAUUUGAUUCCAAAAAGAUCAUAUUACUGAUUCUCUACUAUUAUUGUUUGGUUAGAGCUAUGCAUACAAGUGGUGGAGGCCUGGUGGUAAAUUGUUUAUCAAGAUCGCUAGAGCAGUUAAAUUUACUCCUAUUAUCUUCUGGGAUAAAUUUGGCACACCAUUCCCCUUCCCAAAACCCAUGCAUGUGGUCGUGGGUAAACCAAUUGAAGUCAAUAAGAUUCCCCAUCCUACAAUUGACGAGGACCUCUUUGAGAAGUACAAGGCGAAAGCUGGAUAUCUUGGCCUUCAUCUAAGAGUUCUAUGACAUUCCAUAGUGUCACACCCGGUUUUAAAAGGCAAACCGAAUGCGAACCAUGUACGUGCCAGGAUCAGUUAUUCACGUACACAGCAGUUACAUAAUAUGGACAUCAUCACACAGUGCUCAAAAUAGUAUUAAUAAGGGAAAUAGUCGAUUACAUCAUAC